RNAcentral lists this ribosomal RNA (458 nucleotides) under uncultured bacterium. Its description in RNAcentral is "bacterial SSU rRNA". It matches the Rfam family "Bacterial small subunit ribosomal RNA", at positions 8 to 507 of the family's 1533-position model. The record is from RNAcentral.
AGAGUUUGAUCAUGGCUACAGGAUAAACGCUGGCGGCGUGCCUAACACAUGCAAGUCGAACGAUCCCGCAAGGGAGAGUGGCGGAAGGGUGAGUAACACGUGGGAAUCUACCUCCUCGCAGGGAACAACCUCUCGAAAGAGAGGCUAAUACCCAAAAGGGUCAGAAAUGAUCAGAGUCGAAAGGCGUGAGGAGAGGAGCCCGCGGCCCAUCAGCUAGUUGGUGAGGUAAUGGCUUACCAAGGCUACGACGGGUAGGGGAUCUGAGAGGAUGUCCCCCACACUGGAACUGAAACACGGUCCAGACGCCUACGGGUGGCAGCAGUGAGGAAUACUGGACAAUGGGCGAAAGCCCGAUCCAGCAACGCCGCGUGGAGGAUGAAGGCCUUCGGGUCGUAAACUUCUUUAGAGGGAGACGAGAAAGGACGGUAUCCCUAGAAUAAGCGACGGCAAACUACGUG